CUCACCUGUGUCUCAUUGCUCCCGGUGUGUAUUUAGUGUCUGUGUGUUUCCUCUCUUCUGUUGUCAAACCUGUCUGUAUCUCUGCGGCUCCUUCCCCAUGACUUUUGGAUUCUCUGUUGGACGUGUUGAGGCUGUGGGGAAGAAAGAGCACGUCGUGAUGCCUUUAAUGACCCUCCAACAACAUAGGACAACAGCACAUCCAACUUCUGACACAUUUACUUAAACUCAAACCAUGUCACCCUGUCAACCUUAAAGAGGCAGUGCAAUAUAUGAAACAGAAGUCUUCACACUUCAUUAAAGACUUGGACCAAAAUAAAAUCUCACUUUACAUCAUCA
This is a long non-coding RNA of Notolabrus celidotus (New Zealand spotty), 336 nucleotides long. RefSeq lists it as uncharacterized. The transcript has 2 exons. The record is from RefSeq and is a predicted model, not a curated record. Lineage: Eukaryota; Metazoa; Chordata; Actinopteri; Labriformes; Labridae.